RNAcentral lists this small RNA (27 nucleotides) under Bombyx mori (domestic silkworm). RNAcentral describes it as "ovarian small RNA-12160". Lineage: Eukaryota; Metazoa; Arthropoda; Insecta; Lepidoptera; Bombycidae. The record is from RNAcentral.
AGGAAAUUCAAGCAAUGGUUGCGUCAC